CGAUGGUUGUCGUCAGCUCGUGUCGUGAGAUGUUGGUUAAGUCCCGCAACGAGCGCAACCCCUAUUGUUAGUUGCCAUCAUUCAGUUGGGCACUCUAGCGAGACUGCCGGUAAUAAACCGGAGGAAGGUGGGGAUGACGUCAAAUCAUCAUGCCCCUUAUGACCUGGGCUACACACGUGCUACAAUGGUUGGUACAACGAGUUGCGAGUCGGUGACGGCGAGCUAAUCUCUUAAAGCCAAUCUCAGUUCGGAUUGUAGGCUGCAACUCGCCUACAUGAAGUCGGAAUCGCUAGUAAUCGCGGAUCAGCACGCCGCGGUGAAUACGUUCCCGGGCCUU
Molecule: ribosomal RNA, 337 nt
Filed under: uncultured Streptococcus sp.
Lineage: Bacteria; Bacillati; Bacillota; Bacilli; Lactobacillales; Streptococcaceae
Description: bacterial SSU rRNA
Rfam family: Bacterial small subunit ribosomal RNA
Source: RNAcentral